Molecule: ribosomal RNA, 1373 nt
Filed under: uncultured bacterium
Lineage: Bacteria
Description: bacterial SSU rRNA
Rfam family: Bacterial small subunit ribosomal RNA
Source: RNAcentral
GAUGAACGCUGGCGGCGUGCCUAAUACAUGCAAGUCGCGCGAACGGACGAGAAGCUUGCUUCUCUGAUGUUAGCGGCGGACGGGUGAGUAACACGUGGAUAACCUACCUAUAAGACUGGGAUAACUUCGGGAAACCGGAGCUAAUACCGGAUAAUAUUUUGAACCGCAUGGUUCAAAAGUGAAAGACGGUCUUGCUGUCACUUAUAGAUGGAUCCGCGCUGCAUUAGCUAGUUGGUAAGGUAACGGCUUACCAAGGCAACGAUGCAUAGCCGACCUGAGAGGGUGAUCGGCCACACUGGAACUGAGACACGGUCCAGACUCCUACGGGAGGCAGCAGUAGGGAAUCUUCCGCAAUGGGCGAAAGCCUGACGGAGCAACGCCGCGUGAGUGAUGAAGGUCUUCGGAUCGCAAAACUCUGUUAUUAGGGAAGAACAUAUGUGUAAGUAACUGUGCACAUCUUGACGGUACCUAAUCAGAAAGCCACGGCUAACUACGUGCCAGCAGCCGCGGUAAUACGUAGGUGGCAAGCGUUAUCCGGAAUUAUUGGGCGUAAAGCGCGCGUAGGCGGUUUUUUAAGUCUGAUGUGAAAGCCCACGGCUCAACCGUGGAGGGUCAUUGGAAACUGGAAAACUUGAGUGCAGAAGAGGAAAGUGGAAUUCCAUGUGUAGCGGUGAAAUGCGCAGAGAUAUGGAGGAACACCAGUGGCGAAGGCGACUUUCUGGUCUGUAACUGACGCUGAUGUGCGAAAGCGUGGGGAUCAAACAGGAUUAGAUACCCUGGUAGUCCACGCCGUAAACGAUGAGUGCUAAGUGUUAGGGGGUUUCCGCCCCUUAGUGCUGCAGCUAACGCAUUAAGCACUCCGCCUGGGGAGUACGACCGCAAGGUUGAAACUCAAAGGAAUUGACGGGGACCCGCACAAGCGGUGGAGCAUGUGGUUUAAUUCGAAGCAACGCGAAGAACCUUACCAAAUCUUGACAUCCUUUGACAACUCUAGAGAUAGAGCCUUCCCCUUCGGGGGGGCAAAGUGACAGGUGGUGCAUGGUUGUCGUCAGCUCGUGUCGUGAGAUGUUGGGUUAAGUCCCGCAACGAGCGCAACCCUUAAGCUUAGUUGCCAUCAUUAAGUUGGGCACUCUAAGUUGACUGCCGGUGACAAACCGGAGGAAGGUGGGGAUGACGUCAAAUCAUCAUGCCCCUUAUGAUUUGGGCUACACACGUGCUACAAUGGACAAUACAAAGGGCAGCGAAACCGCGAGGUCAAGCAAAUCCCAUAAAGUUGUUCUCAGUUCGGAUUGUAGUCUGCAACUCGACUACAUGAAGCUGGAAUCGCUAGUAAUCGUAGAUCAGCAUGCUACGGUGAAUACGUUCCCGGGUCU